This 887-nucleotide ribosomal RNA is filed under the name Cordyceps farinosa. RNAcentral describes it as "LSU rRNA". It matches the Rfam family "Eukaryotic large subunit ribosomal RNA", at positions 41 to 958 of the family's 3401-position model. The record is from RNAcentral. Lineage: Eukaryota; Fungi; Ascomycota; Sordariomycetes; Hypocreales; Cordycipitaceae.
UAUCAAUAAGCGGAGGAAAAGAAACCAACAGGGAUUGCCCCAGUAACGGCGAGUGAAGCGGCAACAGCUCAAAUUUGAAAUCUGGCCCCCAGGGUCCGAGUUGUAAUUUGUAGAGGAUGCUUUUGGCGAGGUGCCUUCCGAGUUCCCUGGAACGGGACGCCACAGAGGGUGAGAGCCCCGUCUGGUCGGCCACCGAGCCUCUGUAAAGCUCCUUCGACGAGUCGAGUAGUUUGGGAAUGCUGCUCAAAAUGGGAGGUAUAUGUCUUCUAAAGCUAAAUAUUGGCCAGAGACCGAUAGCGCACAAGUAGAGUGAUCGAAAGAUGAAAAGCACUUUGAAAAGAGGGUUAAAAAGUACGUGAAAUUGUUGAAAGGGAAGCGCCUAUGACCAGACUUGGGCCCGGUGAAUCAUCCAGCGUUCUCGCUGGUGCACUUCGCCGGGCACAGGCCAGCAUCAGCUUGGCGCGGGGGAAAAAGGCUCUGGGAAUGUGGCUCCCCCGGGAGUGUUAUAGCCCACCGCGUAAUACCCUGCGCCGGACUGAGGUACGCGCAUUCGCAAGGAUGCUGGCGUAAUGGUCAUCAGCGACCCGUCUUGAAACACGGACCAAGGAGUCGUCUUCGUAUGCGAGUGUUCGGGUGUCAAACCCCUACGCGUAAUGAAAGUGAACGUAGGUGAGAGCUUCGGCGCAUCAUCGACCGAUCCUGAUGUUCUCGGAUGGAUUUGAGUAAGAGCAUACGGGGCCGGACCCGAAAGAAGGUGAACUAUGCCUGUAUAGGGUGAAGCCAGAGGAAACUCUGGUGGAGGCUCGCAGCGGUUCUGACGUGCGAAUCGAUCGUCAAAUAUGGGCAUGGGGGCGAAAGACUAAUCGAACCUUCUAGUAGCUGGUUUC